UACGAACCGUGCUAACGUUGUUCGGAAUCAUUGGGCUUAAAGGGCGCGUAGGCGGGUCAGCAAGUCAGGGGUGAAAUCCCACGGCUCAACCGUGGAAGAGCCUGUGAUACUGCUGAUCUUGAGGGAGGUAGGGGCGUGCGGAACUUCCGGUGGAGCGGUGAAAUGCGUAGAUAUCGGAAGGAACACCGGUGGCGAAAGCGGCGCGCUGGACCUCUUCUGACGCUGAGGCGCGAAAGCCAGGGGAGCAAACAGG
RNAcentral lists this ribosomal RNA (253 nucleotides) under uncultured bacterium. RNAcentral describes it as "partial 16S ribosomal RNA". It matches the Rfam family "Bacterial small subunit ribosomal RNA", at positions 524 to 776 of the family's 1533-position model. The record is from RNAcentral.